RNAcentral lists this ribosomal RNA (254 nucleotides) under uncultured bacterium. RNAcentral's name for it is "partial 16S ribosomal RNA". It matches the Rfam family "Bacterial small subunit ribosomal RNA", at positions 524 to 776 of the family's 1533-position model. The record is from RNAcentral.
GACGUAGGGCGCGAGCGUUGUCCGGAUUUAUUGGGCGUAAAGAGCUCGUAGGCGGCUUGUCGCGUCAACUGUGAAAACCCGUGGCUCAACCAUGUGGUCUGCAGUCGAUACGGGCAGGCUAGAAUUCGGUAGGGGAGACUGGAAUUCCUGGUGUAGCGGUGAAAUGCGUAGAUAUCUGGAGGAACACCGGUGGCGAAGGCGGCAUCCUGGACCGGCAUUGACGCUGAGGCGCGAAAGCCAGGGGAGCAAACGGG